Molecule: ribosomal RNA, 503 nt
Filed under: uncultured eukaryote
Lineage: Eukaryota
Description: bacterial SSU rRNA
Rfam family: Eukaryotic small subunit ribosomal RNA
Source: RNAcentral
UAGUCAUAUGCUUGUCCUAAAGAUUAAGCCAUGCAUGUCCAAGUAUAAACCUUUAUACGGUGAAACUGCGAAUGGCUCAUUAUAUCAGUUAUAAUUUACAUGAUGAUGACUUGCUACAUGGAUAACCGUGGUAAUUCUAGAGCUAAUACAUGCAAAGGGCCCGCGAGGGUGGCAUUUAUUAGAUGGAACCAGCGAAAGAUGGUGAAUCAUGAUAACUGAGCGGAUCGCAUGGCCUCGAGCUGGCGACGCUUCAUUCAAAUUUCUGCCCUAUCAACUUUGGAUGGUAGGAUAGAGGCCUACCAUGGUGGUGACGGGUGACGGGGAAUUGGGGUUCGACUCCGGAGAGGGAGCCUGAGAGAUGGCUACCACUUCCAAGGAAGGCAGCAGGCGCGCAAAUUACCCAAUCCCGACACGGGGAGGUAGUGACAGUAAAUAACGAUGCGGGGCCGUAUGGUCUUGCAAUUGGAAUGAGAGGAAUGUAAAUGCGUUAGCGAGUAACGAUU